RNAcentral lists this ribosomal RNA (465 nucleotides) under Ameiva jacuba. RNAcentral's name for it is "partial 16S ribosomal RNA". It matches the Rfam family "Bacterial large subunit ribosomal RNA", at positions 1926 to 2593 of the family's 2925-position model. The record is from RNAcentral. Lineage: Eukaryota; Metazoa; Chordata; Lepidosauria; Squamata; Teiidae.
AACGGCCGCGGGAUCCUACACCGUGCAAAGGUAGCAUAAUCAUUUGUCAUCUAAAUAAUGACUAGUAUGAACGGCCUAAUGAGGACUCUCCUGUCUCUUGUAACCAAUCAAUGAAACUGAGCUUUCAGUCCAAAAGCUGAAAUAUCCACACAAGACGAAAAGACCCUGUGGAACUUUAAGUGCUAAUCAACACAUGACACAAUCACUUUUAGUUGGGGCAACUUUGGAACAAAACAAAACUUCCAAUCUAAUGAAACACCACCCGGUAAACCAAGGCCCACACACCAAUGUUUACCUUCACCCUGACCCAGUAUUACUGAUUAAAGAAACAAGCUACCCCAGGGAUAACAGCGCCAUCCCCUCUUAGAGUUCCAAUCGACGAGCGGGGCUUACGACCUCGAUGUUGGAUCAGGGCCCCCAAACAGUGCAGCAGCUGUUAAAGGUUUGUUUGUUCAACAAUUAAUG